This 253-nucleotide ribosomal RNA is filed under the name uncultured bacterium. RNAcentral describes it as "partial 16S ribosomal RNA". It matches the Rfam family "Bacterial small subunit ribosomal RNA", at positions 524 to 776 of the family's 1533-position model. The record is from RNAcentral.
UACGUAGGGUGCGAGCGUUAAUCGGAAUUACUGGGCGUAAAGCGUGCGCAGGCGGUUCGACAAGUCCGAUGUGAAAGCCCCGGGCUCAACCUGGGAAUGGCAUUGGAAACUGGCGAGCUUGAGUGUGGCAGAGGGGGGUGGAAUUCCGCGUGUAGCAGUGAAAUGCGUAGAGAUGCGGAGGAACACCGAUGGCGAAGGCAGCCCCCUGGGCUGACACUGACGCUGAGGCGCGAAAGCGUGGGGAGCAAACAGG